This 363-nucleotide long non-coding RNA is filed under the name Cricetulus griseus (Chinese hamster). Its description in RNAcentral is "lncRNA (ENSCGRG00015024079.2)". The record is from RNAcentral. Lineage: Eukaryota; Metazoa; Chordata; Mammalia; Rodentia; Cricetidae.
GGAAAGCACACAGAACAUCUCUGUCAGAGUGACAGCUCCAGGCUAGGACACAUGUACAUCAUCACAUGAGACCAGAAGAGGGCAUCGGAUUCCCUGGAACUGAAGACAUCCACAAGUUCCCAUAAGGAUCCGAGUGUCCUGCGUGUGUUUCUUGCUGGCGAGGAAUACAGAGCGGGCGCGGGACAUAUGGUGCCGAAACCCGGGACGCUUAACAUCUCCAGCACCACGGAGACCCCUUGGCUACAAGGCGGAUUCAGAACUGCAGGAUGGUAAAUUCGGAGAGGUAUGAUUUUUCUGGACUUUGGCUUGGGACGAUCUUAAAGAAGUCCAGAAUUACAUAUCAGAAACCGAAUGUAAUGAGAA